Molecule: non-coding RNA, 6081 nt
Organism: Podarcis lilfordi (Lilford's wall lizard)
Lineage: Eukaryota; Metazoa; Chordata; Lepidosauria; Squamata; Lacertidae
Source: the annotation of a GenBank genome assembly
GCCAUCAAUAACACUUCUGUUUUGUUUAUUCCAGUUAGGACAGAGUCUGAUACACCAGUCUGACGUCAGCUGCAUUGAAAAAGAAAAUCGCGGAGACAUGUCCUGGAGAAAUUGAGAGGUCUGUACUUCCACUUUUCUGUGAGACUGUAUCUUUGUGUGUUUCCUUUCAGCGUGUGGGAACAUAGAAAGAGCCCUUCCAGAUCUGUAGGAUGUUAAGGAAUUGUGGUAUUCUGCUCAUAAUUCACUGACUACUUGAGUCCAAUAUCAUUUCGCCAAACUGGCCUCUCCACAGAGUUCACACAAACAGCAGCAUUCAGAGCAUAGGAAAGCAAAGCACGAAGAAAAGCUAUAAAUCCACAUGACAUUCCAGACUUCAAGUACUGGCCAAUUACAUCUGAAUGGUUGCAAAUAAGCACAGAGUCCAUAAACAGGCACCAGAGCCCUUGUUUAUCCAAACAAAGUCUACGUCUAUAUCCAUUCAACCAUUGUGAGUGUUCUCAGAUUGUCAGUUCAUCUGAAGGCAGCCCUAUUUAGGGAAGUUUUUGAUGUUUGAUGUUUUUAUUAUUAUUAUUAUUAUUAUUAUUAUUAAAGAUUUUUAACAUAAACUUUCCAAACAAAACAUCCAUCUUAUCAUCUCUUACACAUCUUGGCUACUUUUAGCCAGUGACAUCCAUCAUUCCCUUCUAAUGAUUUCAUCCUAUCUCUCUUCUGUUUACAAUUUGUCUCUUUACUACUGUUUAUAUAAUCAAAAUCUUAACAUCCUGACUUUUAACUCUUAUUAACAAUAUUUCUUAUCUCCAUUUUUCACAAGACUUCUUGUUAUCCUCCAAGCGUAUUCAAUUGAACACCAUUGCCCUUCAAAUAAUUCACAAAUUUACUCCAGUCCUUCAGGAAUUUUUGGUCCCGCUGUUCUCGGAUUCUCCCGGUCAUCUUAGCUAAUUCUGUGUACUCCAUCAAUUGACUGAAUCAAAAAUAACAUUUUUGGUAGCACAUUCAUUUUUAUAACCGAUAUCCUUCCCCAAAGUGACAAUUUCAUCCUUCCCCACACUUCCAAAUCUCUCUUAAUCUUAUUCCAUACCUGGUUGUGGUUUUAUUGAUAGAAAUUUAUAUUUUGGUGGGUUAACAAUAUUCUUUCUUUACCACCCCUGUUUCUGUUUAUUAUUGCAACUGAUCCACUAUCUUUUUGUCCAUAUUUUUAACAAACUUUUUAUUUUUAUUUACUUUAAAGCCUGCUACUUGUCUAAACUGUUCAAUUUUUUCUAGUACUUCCUUCGGACUUGUUAUUGGUUCAAUUGUUAUUACCAAGUCAUCCAUAAAGGCUUUUACUUUAUAUUCUUUCCUUCUGACUGAUAUUCCUUUAAUUCCUUCUGCUAACCUUAUAUUAUUCAGGAGAAUUCCAGAACCGAUAUGAAUAACAAUGGUGAUAGUGGACACCCUUGUCUUGUCCCUUUGUAAUUUCAAUAUUUUCUGUUAAUACAUUAUUUUCAAUAAUUUUUGCCUUUUGACUGGAAUAUAUUGCUUUUAAACUUCUCAUAAACAAUUGACCCAUUUGCAUCCUUUCGAAGUUUUUAAUCUUAAAUUCCCUAGAAUUUAAGGCCUUUUCAGCAUCCACAAAUAUUAUGGCUGCCUGCUUUUCAUUCCUGGCCGUCAAGUAUUCAAUAAUAUUCACAAUAUUCCUUAUAUUGUCCUUCAUCUGGCAGCCAGGAAGAAAACCUUAAUAUUUGCAAAUAGUUUAUAAUCACUGUUCAACAAAGAAAUCGGCCUGUAGUUUUUAACAUGUCAUGUCUGAGUCUGGUUUGGGUAUCAGUGUAAUAUAUGCUUCUUUCCAAGUCUCUGGUGUUUCUCCUUUUUUCAAAAUAUUGUUCAUUACUUCCUCCAAUGGUGCCAGUAGGGUCUAGCUGAAAUUUUUAUCAUCAUCUUUUAUUUAUUUAUUUUUUUAUUUAUUACUUAUUUACCCCACUCAUCUGGCUGGGCUUCCUCAGGCACUCUGGGCGGCUUCCAACAAAAUAUUAAAAUACGGUAAUGCAUCAAACAUUAAAAGCUUCCCCAAACAGGGCUGCCUUCAGAUGUCUUCUAAAAGUCUGGUAGUUGUUUUUCUCUUUGACAUCUUGUGGGAGGGUGUUUGUCAGGAUGGGUGCCACUACCGAGAAGGCCCUCUGCCUGGUUCCCUGUAACUUGGCUUCUCGCAGUGAGGCAACCGCCAGAAGGCCCUUGGUGCUGAACCUCAGUGUCCAGGUAGAACGAUGGGGGUGGAGAUGCUCCUUCAGAUAUACUGGACUGAGGCUGUUUAGGGCUAUAAAGGUUACUUUGAAUUGUGCUCGGAAACGUACUGGGAGCUAAUGUAGGUCUUUCAAGACCGAUGUUAUGUGGUCUUGGCGGCCACUCCCAGUUACCAGUCUAGCUGCCGCAUUCUGGAUUAGUUGUAGUAUCUGGGUCACCUUCAAAGGUAGCCCCACAUAGAGCGCAUUGCAGUACUCCAAGCGAGAGAUAACCAGAGCAUGCACCACUCUGGCGAAGCAGUCCGAGGGGAAGAUAGGGUCUCAGCCUGCAUACCAGAUGGAGCUGGUAAACAGCAGAAAUAGUAUCUCGGGUUAAGAACUUUGCUUCAGGAUAAGAACAGAAAUCUCGCAGCAUCAGCGGGAGACCCUAUUAGCUAAAGUGGUAUCUCAGGUUAAGAACAGUGUCAGGUUAAGAACGGACCUCAAGAACGAAUUAAGUUCUUAACCCGAGGUACCACUGUAUAUUGUUUCUCCAACGGGUGUUUUAAUCUCCACACAUCAAUCAAAUUGCAGCUUUCUACCAUAGAGAAGAAAGUUUUGGGUAGUUUACCUUCUUUCUAUUCUAUUCCCAUUUCUCAUUCUAUCAAUUUCCAAUGAAAUUACCCCAUUCAGGUCCCCCAUAAUUAUUUUUUGAUCCACAAAGAUUUGUCUUGCUUCAUAUUUAUUUUUAUAUACAACACCACCCCUCUUUUACUCCUGUCUGAUGAAAUAAAUUCACUUCCUAAUUUCUUUUUUACCAAAAUUCUUCUAUGUUUUCUUGCAACAUGAGUCUCUCAAAAACAAAUAAUAUCUAAGUUCUUUUUAAUAGAAUCUUUUCAACUUUAUUUCUUUUAGUUUUGUUAUUCAAACCAUUAACACUCCAUGUCAUAAGUGUUCAUGCCGUUUUGUUUUUGCUACUAUUUGUGAACUAGAGUCUUUUAAACUUAUCCUUCCUCCUCCUCCUCUUCUUCUUCUUCUAAUUUAUUAUCUUCUACUUCUACUUCUUGGUCUAUGGUAUCUGUUCCUGCUGCUGCCCCUUCUUCCUCUUUAUCCAGUUCCCUGUACCUCUGGAGGAAUUUUUUUACUUCAUCUUUUUCAGUUUAACUUUUCCUUGUAGUAGAAUGAGACUCCUUCCAGAUACUCCCAUUUAAAAUCAAUAUUGUUUUUUCUCACCACUUGUGUCAGAGGUUUAUAUCCAUCACUUCAUUUCAGCUGACGAACUGGAAUUUCCUUAAAUAUGAUUAUCAUUGCUCUAUCAAUAUAGAACUUCUUUUCUCUUGUUUUUUUAGCAAAAUUAAAUUUCUCAUCUACUUAUCUUUAAAUAUCAUCAAACAAUCUCCUGGAAACUUUUUUCCUUUUUUUGAUUUAACUUUUAUCCUAAAUGCAUUCAAUACUGUAUUGGCAAAUUCAUCUUUUCCAAUUCCUAGCCAUUGUGCAAUUUCAAUAAUUAAUUCUUCUAAAAUAUUCUGUCCUGCUGUUUCUGGGAGAGAUCUGAUUCUCAAAUUUAUCUCUCUUUGCUUCAAUUCCUGCACCACAGUUGCAUCCCACAAUUCCUCCUGUUCCUUAUUCAGCUCUGACACUGCACUUUUAUUUUUCUCAUCCUCCUUUUUUAAAUUCCUUACUUUUCGUUGCAUAGGUUUCAAUCUUUCCUCUAAAUUUUGUGUUCUCUUGCUCACAUCUUUUAUCUGGGCUUUCAUCUCAUUCACAGUUAAAUCUAAUUUUUUGUCCAUCUGCUCCCAUCUACUUUCCAUAUUUGUCUCACUUUGUUUAAUAUCUUUAAUAUCUUUCUUCAGUUCUGCAAACAUUUUUGCAACAUCUCCUUUCCCUUCCAUUUCUUGCUUUGACCCUCUCUGGGUCUCUCCUAAUGUUGCCCCUCCCCUCCUUUUUUCUGUGAUGAUGUCAUUCUUAAACUGUUAUUCCCUCUUUCACCACUAGGUGGCCCUUUUGCCUCCAACCAGUUCUAUAUCAAAUGUAUAUAGCCGAGAGGGAGACAAAGGGUAAAUGCUGCAAUAAUCCAAUAAUUAUUUGUACAAAAACAAAGAGAAAGCAGGAGAAAACGUCUUCCACCACUUACACAGAUUUUUCGCACUUUCCACUGUGUCCCCGUCCCAAGAAAAAGAAGAAAUCAAAACCAAGUACCAACAAAACAAAACAAAACAAAUUCUUCCGCCUCUUGGUGGCUUAAUCCAACUUCCCCUGCAUUAUAUUCCAGGAGAAAGGAAAAGAGGAAGGCAUUCACUACAAUUAUAAUGUCUUAACAAUGAAAAAGGUGAAGUUAAAAGAGAGAGAGAAAAUAAAUCCAUCAUGCUCAUUAACCAAAAGGGGGAGGGUGUCCCCAAGUCUCUUCCUGUAAAUAUCUCCUCAAAUUUCUUACAGUACCAGACUUUAGCAGUCUUUUUAUAUUUGUCUCUGCUGGUCUGGUAUUUUAACUCGCAAAAAUAGCUCCAUAAACAUAUUUUUUACAAAUUGCACAGUUUAAAUUAAAAUUGAAAGUAAAAGCCGGAAGCUCCUUCUCCAGCGGGCUCCUUCAACUCCCAAAGGGUUUCAAAUAAGUUUAUUUUCUAGGGAUUUCCACCUCCCUUUCAGUAAACCAAACCUUCAGAACUAAAAAAGUAUAUUUAUUAUUUUUAUUCGCUGUAGGAGAUUAGAAUCUUACUCCGUUUUGCAGGUAAUUCAUGCAGUGUAAAUCAAUCACAGUCGGGGCUGGCCUCCUUUUUUAUCCCUUCUGUCUUCCGAAUCUUUCUCAAUUAGAAUUUCCCAACAUUUUGCCAGAUUCAGGUUUCUUUUUGUUCGAAAAUCAGCCACUGUGCUGGAUAGACUCAAGGCUUCAAUCCUCCGAGUAGUUAACGGCAUCCCGCGCUGGUGUCUUGAUCUCGCUGCACUUUCCGCUCUCCAAGGGGAGCGUUUUCGGCGCCGGAGAGACGUCCUUAUGGUGCUGGUGGCCUCAAAAUAAUCCUUUUGAGGGUUUGGGGGGGCUGCGGCGCCCUUGCAGACUCCCCCUUUCUUUCGCAAAGAGCUGAACUCUCCCCUAAGGGCUGAGUCCCAUCUCUUCUCAGCUCUGUGGACCAACUGGAAGUCGAUGUUUGAUGUUUUAGCGUGUCUUUAAUAUUCUGUUGGGAGCUGCCCAGCCUUAUGGAUGGGGUUUGAAUAAUGAUAUAUUAUAUUAAUUAAUUAAGGUAAAACAUAUCUUUAUUCCUCUAAUUUAUCAGUAUCAGUCUUUUGGCCACAUUUAGGAAAUGCAUAAUCCACUUUUGUAAUCCAGUUGACAGCUUACAUGCAAUUGGUAUAUUAUUCCAAAGGAUAUUUUCCUCUGAAAGUCUUCCCAUUAGAAUUCAGCUUUUUCAGUGUCACACAUAUUUGCUUAACCACCCACCCCAAAGGAGAAAGAAAAGUGAGAGAGUCCUGGACAGAUAAUUUCCACAAGGAUAGUUCUAUAUCACAAGACGGGCAUGAGAUCAGGUGGUCCAUUCCCUGGCCAUACUUCCUCAGGGAGACAUAGAGAAGAGAGGAGAGAAUCUAGGAGAUGCUUUUAAAUAAAAAAGACGGUGGUGUUAAUUAGGCUCACUUUGUGUUAAGUUCCUUUUCCCUCUUCCGUGAAACCCUAAAAUGGUUUUCUUUCCCCCAAAGGAGAAGGCGAUCCAAAUUCUGAGGAGACACCUUCAAUUUCAUUGAGAAUAAUGAAGACAAAGUUAAAAUGUGCAUAAUGUUCUUCUGUCUGUGUGCACACUGAGUUUACAAUAAUGAACUCAACAGAAGAUAAACCAUCUAAAGCUAUGCAGUGCAAAAGAGCUUGAACUGGAGCAAAACUCAUAGGAAACAUCAA